GAAAGGGGGAGAUGAGGAUGGAGAAGGAAGUGGAAAGUUCGAGGUCCGUCUUCCACUUCCGGUUUCCGCCUCAGUUCCAGCGCCAGGGGCUUCAGCAGACGCAGCAGCAGCAACAGACAGCAGCUUUGGUCCGGCAGCUCCAACAACAGCUCUCCAAUACCCAGCCACAGCCCAGUACCAACAUAUUUGGACGCUACUGAACCACCUGGAAGAACCACACGUGCACUGGAUGUGGCCCCACCCUUUCCUCUUAAUUCCCGGUCCCCUUCUUGGGCUAGCACCAGUAGUGGUUGGGGCUCUUCCCUCAGGCUCCAUUUUUAAUAAGUUUUUAGUAUUUUUGUUAAUGUGAGGCAUUGAGCUGUUGGGUUUUGUAUAUUAUUUAUAUAGAGACCCCAGAGCUGUUGCACCCAAUACACAGAGCUUCUUUGCAAAGGGAGUGUGUGAGUUCUGCAUGGCUGGCAAGGGCGGGCUCUGGGGGGAGUGCUGGGGGCUGGACCAACCAGUCAGAGCCUUCGUCCUGUUCCUGUUCCUCCUGUUCCGAUCAACUCCCCUGUUUACCUUCCAUCCCCUCAGUUUCUGAAUUAUAAUUGCAUUGCUACUCUUUCCUCCCUUCUCCAACCUGGCAACAUAUUAUAUAGGUUUGGGCCCUUGGUUUCUUAAGAAGGGCAGCCUACCUUCUCAGCUGGACCUUGCAGGUUCUUCGUAGCUUCUCGCCUGGAGGGAGAGGCUGCUGGGAUGGGGGAGGGGCAGUGAGGCCCAAGGAAAAAAUCUGUGGAACUGAUUCUUCCGCUGCCCAUCCCACACACUGGGUUUUAAACAAACUUCAGGGUGGGGGGUGUGACAGACACUGCCUACCUUUUUUGCCACCUCGCGUGCUCCCUGUCACACACGCAGCAUCUUAGAGAACUUUCCCCAAGAGUCACAUUUCUGGGAUGAAAACUGGCCCGCCAUUGGCAAGUGUCCCCAUCGAACUGGUGGUGGUGGAAGGACGGUAUCAUUCUAGGAGGAAGAGAGACCCAGGAAAAGGAAGGACCCCUUUUUUUUCUCUCUCCACUCUGUUGCUGGAACUGUUUUCACAUGACCCACCUUGGCAGUGACCCAGGAUGACUGUGGCGCCCUCCCAUUUUACAGUAGAGAAAACUUGAAACUGUUGCCCCCGUGUCACAUUUGGAACUGUGGCAGGGUCACCUGCGGCCCCUU
This 1200-nucleotide long non-coding RNA is filed under the name Ursus americanus (American black bear). RNAcentral's name for it is "lncRNA (ENSUAMG00000003388.1)". The record is from RNAcentral. Lineage: Eukaryota; Metazoa; Chordata; Mammalia; Carnivora; Ursidae.